GAGGGAAAGUUGAAAAGGACUCUGAAGAGAGGGUUCAAGAGAGCGUGAAACUGCCACGGGGAUAAAGCGGAUACAUUAGCGUAGUCGAAAGGGGAGAUACAGCUCGUCGGCCGUCGACCUCUAGCGGUAUUCGUCUAUCGUUCGGAAUUAACCCCGAUACAUUCGUUUCGUCGAUUUAUCGUCGUUUCGUUUCGUCGGUUCUUGGUUCCAAUCGCGAUAGCUACCCUAGUAAGCGUACGUUCAUCGACGAGUCUAAUUCACACCCUAGUAGGCCGCCGCGACGGUUGGAAGGUUGUCUAAGGCCAUUUAGAGAGGUCGCGGGAACCUUUCGUUUGCGCGUAUAUAUAUCGGGGGGAAUCCUCCUCGCUUAUAUAUCUGUCGUCGACGAAGGGGGACGCUCUCGGGAAUUUACUGACGGACUUUCCGACCGGAGAAAUAAACGUUGAGCUCUCUCUCUCGCGAGAAAGAGAUAACGUAAGUGCGGCGCUCGUAGCGACCAAUUUAUCCGUCCCGUCUUGAAACACGGACCAAGGAGUCUAACAUGUACGCGAGUCAAAGGGCUUACUAAACCCUAAGGCGUAAUGAAAGUAAAUUAACGGAUUGAUCCGCGCUCUUCGACAGAAGACCGGCGCAAAUCCGGGACCCGUCUUACUGCUUCUAUUUAUAGUCGUUCACGUGGCGGGUACCUGGAGCGUACAUGUUGGGACCCCA
RNAcentral lists this ribosomal RNA (711 nucleotides) under Ilyarachna longicornis. Its description in RNAcentral is "partial large subunit ribosomal RNA". It matches the Rfam family "Eukaryotic large subunit ribosomal RNA", at positions 355 to 819 of the family's 3401-position model. The record is from RNAcentral. Lineage: Eukaryota; Metazoa; Arthropoda; Malacostraca; Isopoda; Munnopsidae.